This 487-nucleotide ribosomal RNA is filed under the name uncultured bacterium. RNAcentral's name for it is "bacterial SSU rRNA". It matches the Rfam family "Bacterial small subunit ribosomal RNA", at positions 501 to 987 of the family's 1533-position model. The record is from RNAcentral.
CUACGUGCCAGCAGCCGCGGUAAUACGUAGGGUGCGAGCGUUAAUCGGAAUUACUGGGCGUAAAGCGAGCGCAGACGGUUACUUAGGCAGGAUGUGAAAUCCCCGGGCUCAACCUGGGAACUGCGUUCUGAACUGGGUGACUAGAGUGUGUCAGAGGGAGGUAGAAUUCCACGUGUAGCAGUGAAAUGCGUAGAGAUGUGGAGGAAUACCGAUGGCGAAGGCAGCCUCCUGGGAUAACACUGACGUUCAUGCUCGAAAGCGUGGGUAGCAAACAGGAUUAGAUACCCUGGUAGUCCACGCCCUAAACGAUGUCAAUUAGCUGUUGGGCAACUUGAUUGCUUAGUAGCGUAGCUAACGCGUGAAAUUGACCGCCUGGGGAGUACGGUCGCAAGAUUAAAACUCAAAGGAAUUGACGGGGACCCGCACAAGCGGUGGAUGAUGUGGAUUAAUUCGAUGCAACGCGAAGAACCUUACCUGGUCUUGACAU